CUGCAGCCAAUUAAGUCCACCAGAUCCCUUUCCUCGUGGGGUCUGGUAAUGACUGUGGAGAGCAGUCUCGGAUGUAGUGGACGUAGCCUGUUGCCUAUAUGCGUUUCCCCAAAAGCCCUGGCUAUAGUU
Small nucleolar RNA from Apodemus sylvaticus (European woodmouse), 129 nucleotides. RefSeq annotates it as small nucleolar RNA SNORA70. Lineage: Eukaryota; Metazoa; Chordata; Mammalia; Rodentia; Muridae. The transcript has a single exon. The record is from RefSeq and is a predicted model, not a curated record.